RNAcentral lists this ribosomal RNA (407 nucleotides) under uncultured bacterium. RNAcentral describes it as "bacterial SSU rRNA". It matches the Rfam family "Bacterial small subunit ribosomal RNA", at positions 61 to 514 of the family's 1533-position model. The record is from RNAcentral.
GUCGAGCGAGACCUUCGGGUCUAGCGGCGGACGGGUGAGUAACGCGUGGGAACGUGCCCUUCUCUACGGAAUAGCCCCGGGAAACUGGGAGUAAUACCGUAUACGCCCUUUGGGGGAAAGAUUUAUCGGAGAAGGAUCGGCCCGCGUUGGAUUAGGUAGUUGGUGGGGUAAUGGCCCACCAAGCCGACGAUCCAUAGCUGGUUUGAGAGGAUGAUCAGCCACACUGGGACUGAGACACGGCCCAGACUCCUACGGGAGGCAGCAGUGGGGAAUCUUAGACAAUGGGGGCAACCCUGAUCUAGCCAUGCCGCGUGAGUGAUGAAGGCCUUAGGGUUGUAAAGCUCUUUCAGCUGGGAAGAUAAUGACGGUACCAGCAGAAGAAGCCCCGGCUAACUCCGUGCCAGCAC